This 425-nucleotide ribosomal RNA is filed under the name uncultured bacterium. RNAcentral describes it as "bacterial SSU rRNA". It matches the Rfam family "Bacterial small subunit ribosomal RNA", at positions 917 to 1344 of the family's 1533-position model. The record is from RNAcentral.
GGGCCCGCACAAGCGGUGGAGCAUGUGGUUUAAUUCGAUGAUACGCGAGGAACCUUACCAGGGCUUAAAUGUAGUCUGACAGAUUUGGAAACAGAUUUUUCUUCGGACAGAUUACAAGGUGCUGCAUGGUUGUCGUCAGCUCGUGCCGUGAGGUGUCAGGUUAAGUCCUAUAACGAGCGCAACCCCUGUUGUUAGUUGCCAGCGAGUAAUGUCGGGAACUCUAGCAAGACUGCCGGUGCAAACCGUGAGGAAGGUGGGGAUGACGUCAAAUCAUCACGGCCCUUACGUCCUGGGCCACACACGUGCUACAAUGGUAGGUACAGAGAGCAGCCACGUCGCAAGGCGGAGCGAAUCUCAAAAAGCCUAUCGUAGUCCAGAUUGGAGUCUGCAACUCGACUCCAUGAAGUAGGAAUCGCUAGUAAUCG